GAGGGUAUAUCUCAGUUGUAGAGCACAUGCCUAACACGCACAAGGUCCUGGGUUCAAUCCCCAGUACCUCCG
Molecule: transfer RNA, 72 nt
Filed under: Camelus bactrianus (Bactrian camel)
Lineage: Eukaryota; Metazoa; Chordata; Mammalia; Artiodactyla; Camelidae
Also listed under: 2 other names
Rfam family: tRNA
About the family: Transfer RNA (tRNA) molecules are approximately 80 nucleotides in length.
Source: Rfam by way of RNAcentral